This 253-nucleotide ribosomal RNA is filed under the name uncultured bacterium. RNAcentral describes it as "partial 16S ribosomal RNA". It matches the Rfam family "Bacterial small subunit ribosomal RNA", at positions 524 to 776 of the family's 1533-position model. The record is from RNAcentral.
UACGUAGGGGGCGAGCGUUGUCCGGAGUUACUGGGCGUAAAGCGCUUGUAGGCGGUCCACCAAGUUUGGGGUGACAGUUGCCGACUUAAUCGGCAAAGUGCCUCAAAGACUGGCGGACUUGAGGGCCACAGAGGGACAUGGAACUCCAGGUGUAGUGGUGAAAUGCGUAGAUAUCAAGAGGAACACCUGAGGUGAAGACGGGUUGCUGGGCCGACACUGACGCUGAUGCGCGAAAGCCAGGGGAGCAAACGGG